RNAcentral lists this long non-coding RNA (1256 nucleotides) under Monodelphis domestica (gray short-tailed opossum). RNAcentral describes it as "lncRNA (ENSMODG00000030732.2)". The record is from RNAcentral. Lineage: Eukaryota; Metazoa; Chordata; Mammalia; Didelphimorphia; Didelphidae.
AUAGAGUAUGAAACUGAGGCCCAGGGUGAUUUUAAUGACACAGGGUCACACAGUAGUAUGCAUUGGAGGUAGAAACCAUGUCCUUUACCACUAGAGUCCUUCCCCUAUAAUGAGCUGCUUUGUACUUAUGAGGUCAUGGUUGAUAUCAUACAGAGACUAGAUUGGGGUGGGGUUGGGACAAGAGCCUGGCAGAAGAGGGUUAGAGGCUGGGUUUAGGAAUGCAGCUUUGGGACUCCAUCUAGGCUUGAGGGGCAAAAAAGAGAAAUUCCUUUAACGAAGAAUGAGCUUGGAGAAAUUGUAUCUUUUCCCUUGAGCCCCAUUAUAUCUGUGACUGUAUUCCGUGGAGCCUUCUGAAGACAUCAAGCAUCUGAUGGACCUCCAAUCGCCAUUCAGCAAAAAGGGAUUAAUGGCAGAGCAAACAAGUCAGGGGACAGGAGAGCCCCCUAACGUCAAUAAAAGAUGCUGCAAUACCAUGAAGAGGUCCAAAUCAGAGAUCCUCUGGCAGCCAGGAGUACUUGGCCCAGGUUUGCACCAGGCUGUCCCAAGAAGCAAAGAGUUGGAGGAGAAAGUGAAAGCACAGGAUACCCAGCUGAUGAUGGCCAGAACACAAUGGCUCCAGGUGCUGGCUAUAUUCAAAAAGCUGCAAAAGGAGCUUCAGGAAGAUGCUCGGAUCAGAGCGGAGGAGAGGAAACGUGAACAGAGGUAUGAAAACCUGUUUCAUGAAAUCCAAGUCAUCAGUACCCAGACCUGGAAACCUCAAGUCUCUAGAUUAGAGGACCAAUCCAAAGGGAACAAUAUUGUUGAACCCAGUCUCAGGCUCCUCUGUCCACUCCCUGAGGGACUCUCUCCCAGAUCUAACCUGAUUCCCAGGAACCUAGGGCUGCACUCUGGAGAGCAUGCUUCCUCAGCUCCUGUUCCACCCACUGGCCUCAUAAGACUGUACUCCCAAGGGUUGGUCCCAUGGAAUGCAGGCCCACCUGUGACCGCCAUGAUCAAGAAGAAGACCAAGGCCCUUCAGGCCAUUGCCCCGACACGGAGUAGUGACACACUGUUGAGCAGUGGUGGAGGAGAAGCAAUGGUUUGGAUAUCGCAACAGAAGACACCAUUACUACUGGGCAAGACACCAGCUGAAGCAGGAAGCUCUGGCCUUGGGAUAAGACUUGGGCACCCAAAUCUUCCACCACCAGAAGCUGUUCAAGAAAUAACGCAUUAAAUAACUAAACAGACAAAUAAAGAUUCAACUACAUGAAAGGACA